Oncorhynchus keta (chum salmon) is the source of this 572-nucleotide long non-coding RNA. RefSeq lists it as uncharacterized. The record is from RefSeq and is a predicted model, not a curated record. Lineage: Eukaryota; Metazoa; Chordata; Actinopteri; Salmoniformes; Salmonidae. The transcript is spliced from 5 exons.
CCCCUGAACUCAGGGACAAAGGUCCCUUUGAAUGGGGUGAGGGGGAUAGAAAAUGAGGAGAGCAGGCUAUAAGCUAAAAGAGAAGGCUGAGAUGAGGGUGGAGGAGGUGAGAGGGAGAGGAUAGGCUAGUGGGCUAAACUAAAAGAGAAGGCUGAGAGGAGGGUGGAUGAGGUGAGAGGGAGAGGAUAGGCUAGUGGGCUAAGCUAAAAGAGAAUGCUGAGAUGAGGGUGGAGGAGGUGAGAGGGAGAGGAUAGGCUAGUGGGCUAAGCUAAAAGAGAAUGCUGAGAUGAGGGUGGAGGAGGUGAGAGGGAGAGGAUAGGCUAGUGGGCUAAACUAAAAGAGAAGGCUGAGAGGAGGGUGGAUGAGGUGAGAGGGAGAGGAUAGGCUAGUGGGCUAAACUAAAAGAGAAGGCUGAGAGGAGGGUGGAUGAGGUGAGAGGGAGAGGAUAGGCUAGUGGGCUAAACUAAAAGAGAAGGCUGAGAGGAGGGUGGAUGAGGUGAGAGGGAGAGGAUAGGCUACUGGGCUAAACUAAAAGAGAAGGCUGAGAGGAGGGUGGAGGAGGCUUUGUCUAG